AUACAUGCAAGUCGAGCGAAUUGAUGGGAGCUUGCUCCCUGAUAUUAGCGGCGGACGGGUGAGUAACACGUGGGUAACCUGCCUGUAAGAUUGGGAUAACUCCGGGAAACCGGAGCUAAUACCGGAUAACAUGUUGAACCGCAUGGUUCAACAUUGAAAGAUGGCUUUUGCUAUCACUUACAGAUGGACCCGCGGCGCAUUAGCUAGUUGGUGAGGUAACGGCUCACCAAGGCAACGAUGCGUAGCCGACCUGAGAGGGUGAUCGGCCACACUGGGACUGAGACACGGCCCAGACUCCUACGGGAGGCAGCAGUAGGGAAUCUUCCGCAAUGGACGAAAGUCUGACGGAGCAACGCCGCGUGAACGAUGAAGGCCUUCGGGUCGUAAAGUUCUGUUGUUAGGGAAGAACAAGUACCAGAGUAACUGCUGGUACCUUGACGGUACCUAACCAGAAAGCCACGGCUAACUACGUGCCAGCAGCCGCGGUAAUACGUAUGUGGCAAGCGUUGUCCGGAAUUAUUGGGGCGUAAAGCGCGCGCAGGUGGUUUCUUAAGUCUGAUGUGAAAGCCCACGGCUCAACCCGUGCACGGUCAGUUGAAAACUGGGGGAACUUGAGUGCAGAAAAGGAAAGU
Molecule: ribosomal RNA, 632 nt
Filed under: Bacillus sp. (in: firmicutes)
Lineage: Bacteria; Bacillati; Bacillota; Bacilli; Caryophanales; Bacillaceae
Description: bacterial SSU rRNA
Rfam family: Bacterial small subunit ribosomal RNA
Source: RNAcentral